This is a non-coding RNA of Chiloscyllium plagiosum (whitespotted bambooshark), 858 nucleotides long. Lineage: Eukaryota; Metazoa; Chordata; Chondrichthyes; Orectolobiformes; Hemiscylliidae. The record is from RefSeq and is a predicted model, not a curated record.
UCUCAAUCUGUCUCCAGUGUCAUAAAACACAGGAUUGUGACAUGUCAGGGAAGAGUUGUUUUAAAACUGCUUUUUUUGAAAAGGUACCGUAAGCAUGAACAAAAUACCUGCUGGAAGCAAAACCCACUUCAGUGAUUUACAUGGUGAAUUCAAUUGGCAGAGAACUGGAAUUGUGUGACAGUGGAUAUGUCAGGGGAAGGCUCAGAAGACUUGGUUAGUCAAGUACAGGAGUAGUUGGUGACCUGUGAAUGAUCCACACAUCUGAUUAAUGCUUGGUACCCUUCCUCCAAUCAAGAAAACAUCCUCAGGCAUUAGCUGGUGUUAAAUGGAGCAUAACGAUUUGCACCCAUACUUGAAGAAAAUGCGUCUGAAAUGGAUAACUGCCUUUCUCUGGAUGAUUAUCACUCACAGCAUUUAAUUAAAGAGAUGUUAUCAUAACCUGAGUAAGAGAAGAUAGAUUGCUGGCUGUGUGUUGCCAACAGUAGUUUAUAACACAAUAAAACAGACAUUUGGAUAUAUAGACUUUAACAACAUUUGCUAAUUUGUUCCAAACAAACACAUCCUUGGAGAUUCUAAAUGAACACCACAGUUAUAAUUUUGACAGCAGGGAUAAAAGGUCAUUACGCCUUGGUUCCAUUUCACAAAACGCUCAAGAAGAUUUCACCAAAACAACUAAAGCCUCCAUUUGAGUGAGUGGUGGGGCCACACAGGUAAAAAGGUCACAGAUUUGAUCUCCAGUCUUUGUUGAUGAUACCUGCCUGUUAAAUGGAUGAUGCAGUAGAUCUCAAUGUGUUUGUGGUAAGUAAUGAUAAAUCAACCAGAGUUCUACAGAGAUUGUUUCAUGUGAAUCUUCUUGGA